AUUGAACGCUGGCGGCAGGCCUAACACAUGCAAGUCGAACGAGUGGCGGACGGGUGAGUAAUGUCUGGGAAACUGCCCGAUGGAGGGGGAUAACUACUGGAAACGGUAGCUAAUACCGCAUACCAUCGGAUGUGCCCAGAUGGGAUUGGCUGGUUGGUGGGGUAACGGCUCACCUAGGCGACGAUCCCUAGCUGGUCUGAGAGGAUGACCGGCAAAACUGGAACGGGUAACCGUCCCGAACUCCUACGGGGGGAAGCAGGGGGGAAUAUUGCACAAGGGGGGCAAGCCUGAUGCGGAAAUGCCGGGGGUAUGAAGAAGGCCUUCGGGUGGUAAAGUACUUUAAGCGGGGAGGCGGUACUCGCAGAAGAAGCACCGGCUAACUCCGUGCCAGCAGCCGCGGUAAUUC
Molecule: ribosomal RNA, 406 nt
Filed under: uncultured bacterium
Lineage: Bacteria
Description: partial 16S ribosomal RNA
Rfam family: Bacterial small subunit ribosomal RNA
Source: RNAcentral